Molecule: ribosomal RNA, 429 nt
Filed under: Verrucomicrobiota bacterium
Lineage: Bacteria; Pseudomonadati; Verrucomicrobiota
Description: Verrucomicrobia bacterium partial 16S ribosomal RNA
Rfam family: Bacterial small subunit ribosomal RNA
Source: RNAcentral
UAGGGAAUCUUCCGCAAUGGACGAAAGUCUGACGGAGCAACGCCGCGUGAGUGAAGAAGGAUUUCGGUUCGUAAAACUCUGUUGUUAGGGAAGAAAAAAUGUAUAGUAACUAUAUACAAAAGAGACGGUACCUAACCAGAAAGCCACGGCUAACUACGUGCCAGCAGCCGCGGUAAUACGUAGGUGGCAAGCGUUGUCCGGAAUUAUUGGGCGUAAAGCGCGCGCAGGUGGUUUAGAAAGUCUGAUGUGAAAGCCCACGGUUCAACCGUGGAGGGUCAUUGGAAACUAAUAAACUUGAGUGCAGGAGAGAAAAGUGGAAUUCCUAGUGUAGCGGUGAAGUGCGUAGAGAUUAGUAGGAACACCGGUGGCAAAAGCGGCUUUUUGGCCUGCAACUGACACUGAGGCGCGAAAGCGUGGGGAGCAAACAGG